UCUUGGAAGUCAGAGAGAAAUGUAGAAGUAAAAAGGUUUAGGCGAUUAUAGAGUGCAUUUCCCGCUCAACUGUACAACAGCAGCGUCACAAAUAUUGGAGGAAAGAGAUUUACAAGGCCAGAAUUAACUGAUCUAAGGAAUAAAAGCGAGAAUAUGUGGCACUGCAAACUGGAAUUCCAGCGUUCUCUACAGGCUUUGGAACAUUGAAAACGAAACGUAAAGCGCCGGAAGAAUUUCACGUUUUAACAUAUCUCCGCAGAGGUAUUAAGGCAGAGCUAGACCAGAUCUCGAGUUGGUCGACUCAGCCAACAGCAUUGUGGGCAGGACGGACUGGGAGCUCGCUGGUUGCCCACUGUCAGACGUACGGCCAUCCGAGCUUCUGUUACUUACUUGUCAAGAGCCUGCGAGUUGCUGGCGCGCUCGGCUGGCAUUGGUGUGCUACCCAGUCAGGAAAAGCGAAAACAAAAACAGAGGAAAUGUUCGCUGCUGUGAGUCAGUUCCUGAUCUCAUUUUCCUCACUCAUAGCUGCUACUAUGAAAUCACAAGCAAAAAUACCUAGUUAUUUCAUGAGAUACAUGUGAUAAUAAUGAAGAUCAGGAAGAAGGCAGAAGAAUGGUGUUAAAAAACAUACCAGCCAUGAUCGAAGAUGGAGUAGACUUGAUGGGUCAAAUGGCCUAAUUUAGUUCCUACAUACUAUGGUCUUGUGUGUUGGUUCCGAUACUCUGAUGUAAUGUAUUCAUAGAGGGAUUUGAUCAUGUGGCACCUGACGCAAAAUGCUUGACUACAUGAUAUUUGCUCACUGUUUGCAAAUGUUUUAGUGUUUACCUUAGUUGAGUGUCUAAGUAUUACCUGGCCCUAAGUAAAAUAUUUGGCCUUGUUUAUGAUGAGAUAACUAACAUAAUUUUUAAAUCAAGGCACGUUAAAUAAUAGAAAGAUUUCAGAAUAAGUAGACUUUUUAAAAAAAUUCAUGAUUGUAAUAAUGGUCUCAUUGAUGAGGCAGCAUUUAUUGCCCAUCCCUAACUGCCCAGAGAGCAGUUCAGAAUCAACCACAUUGCUGUGAAGUCACAUGUACGCCAGACCAGAUAAGGAUGGCAGUUUACUUCCCUAAAGGGACAUUAGUAAACUAGAUGGGUUUUUCCUGACAAUCUGCAAUAAAUUCAGGGUCAUCAUUAGAUUCUUAAUUCCAGAUAUUUUCAUUAAAUACAAAUUCCACCAUCUGCUGUGGCAGGAUUCAAACCAACAUCCCCAGAAUGUUGUCUGGGUCUCUGGUUUAACACACUAGCGGUAAUGCUACUUGGUCAUUACCUCCCCACAAGACGAUGAAUAAAUAAAUUAAUACAAGACAACUAUUUACUUCUGGGCGAGGUGGAUGGAGACUGUGGGCAUCUAGUUGCUCACUAAUAAUGUGAUAGUACCAGGUCCUCCAAUUACCAAUUGAGAAUUGAGACAGGUUGAAAGCAAUUUUCACCUUGAUUUAUGGUCUUCUGAAAAACAUUAACAAAAUAUGAAGGAAAGGUAGCAACUAAUUUGGAUUUUCAAUUCUGGUAAUUGUAUUACUGUGUAUUCCUUAAAAUUUCUUUUAGCGAAAGGUACAAUCCUUGCCCUUUCUCACAAUAAGCUUCUAAUCUCCCAUUAUUAUAAAAUUUACUGGUGUGAUCUCCUCCGUAAUUUAUCUGGUCUAAGGCUUUGCUUUAACAAAGGCUUUUAGGAGCAAAUUCAGCAUUCCAGCCAAACUCUGCAUGAAUAUUUUUUAAAAACACCCUUUUAAUUUUUUUUUUCAAUUGCCUUAAAUUGAUGUCCAUUUUUGCUGCUUUGAUAACUAACGGAAAUAAUCCAUGAUUGUCUUUCCAAAGCUGUAACACCACAUUUCUGGUAACAUUCUGAAAAAUCUUCACUACACUUUGUCUAUUAAUUGUCCACAUUUCAUGGAAUGAGAUCUUUAAAAUUUUUGUAGUACUCCAAUUAUAUUCUGGCUAAUUCAUUAAAAGACAUUAGUUUUUUUGUCUUUGUAUUCUACUCACACCAACAGUUCAACUUGCAUUUUCAAUCGCCUUUAUCUAGUUUAUGCUGCCAUUUUAAUGACCUUUAUGUCUUGACAUCAAAGUCCUUCUCCAAUUCUACCUAAAACGUUAUUUAACGUUAUUGUCUAUUGCUUUCAAAAUUCAUACUAUGAUUAAAAUCUGCAAUUAACAGUAUUAAUACUCCACAUGAAGUUUGUUUUAUAACAACUCCUUGUGUUCUAAAAUAAACUUUAUAGGGAUUGGCCCAAGUAAAGUGUGAGGAUAAACUGUUCCAAUAUCACAGAGUGUUUCUUCCUGUAAUACAUCAUCAUGCAAUGCACAGUGAAUUAUUCUGUUACUUCAGUGAAGUUGUGCUUAAUCUUGACUAUUCCUUUAAGGUCUCACAGAAUAAAUGGGGUAAAUAUGAACAUCUGUGUAGCCAUGUUUCCAACAACAUUAUUGGAAGACUAGUGAAUUUUCCACCCAACAAUCAUAUGCCCAAAUCGAUACUGUCAUUACCACUUUAACCCCUAAACUCCAGGCGUAUCGAGUCAACAUGCCAGACAUAGUAGUGCACCAUUCCCCCAUUGAAUCCAGGAUGGUUAUACCUAUUAAUGAACCUCUUCCCGCAUUAUCCUUUUCCCUUCCAUUAUCUAACAUUACUGUGCCCUUACAGAUUAAGUUGCACACAUCACAAUUAUUAUACCAUCUGCAUCCUAGCAUGUUGCCUCCAAUCCCUACAAAUGAGUUCCUGUUUCCCUAUCACUGCAGUGGCCCCAAUAACCCCUUCUGUCCCCCAACCAUAAAUUUCAAUGAACAGACUCCCAUAACUGCCUGUGGCCCACACCCUUCACUGACUUAGAUGGACAUUGAGAUGAUGACAACUUUCUUCAGCCAUAGACCUGUGCCAUAGGCUCUGCCACAGAAACUGGUUGCGGCUAAAACAGUGAAUGUAUUUAAGAAGAAGUUAAAUCUUCUUAGGGAUGAAAGGAUCAAAGGAAAUGGAGACAUCUGGGGAGCAGAUAUUGAGUUGGAUGAUCAGCCAUGAUGAUUUGAAAGUUGGAGCAAGCUUGAACCAGCUUAUUCCUACUCCUAUGUUUCUAUGACAGCCAUAAUUAAUGAGUGACCAGACUCCUGAGUGAUAUCUGUGGAGCUUCCCAACUGACUUACCAUCAUUCCUCAGACCAGACCUGCAGAACCAACCAUGUCAAACUCCCAGACUGUAAUCAGACAGAUGCACUGAUGUCCCAAGAGCAAAAUAAUCUGAGCCAUUAAAGGUGGUGUUGGAAAAUAUUUGUACAAUUUCAAAUUUUUUUGGGAAGGGCUUUUAGAGUUACUGAACCAAAGUAAGUAGAUGUAGUUAAGGAUAAAUCAGCCAAGAUCUAAUGGAAUGGAGAACAGACUUAAAGAAUUGAGUUGUUUACUCAUUUUUAUAUUGCAUCAGAAAUGGAAAACAGCAAAAAUCAUUAAUAUUGUACGUACAGAAAUAGAAAUUAAAGUCUAUUUAGGAUGUGACAAAACAAAUUUGAAAAGGAAGAUCAAAACUAGACAAAAGUCAGAAGUCAUAUCUGUCACCUACAAUUAUAAGAAAGAAAUUACUCAUUUUAAGAGCUAAAUGAUGGACAAAGUACAUCUGAGACAGUGAAAAUACAUUAAAAAGAAAGUAGUGGAAUUAAAAUAUCCUGAAAAUACAUUGCUUUUCUGAUUUAUUCUAACCCUUCCAGAUGCCCGAGGAAGGUACAAUAUGAUACUACUGGAAGGUACUAUAUGAUUUUCCUAGCCAAUAACCAACAAUUUUAGAAAUCGCUAGAAUUGAGGCACAAUUUUAAAAUAAAUUGAAAGGGGGCUCUUACAAAGAACUUUGAAUAUUUUUUCCCUAGGAGGUGGAAAGGGAGACAAGGAAGAUCGUACUCCCAAGAAUGACAUUUUCCUGUCAGACAAUAUAUCCCCUUCAGUGGGUGUGCAUCUUGGAUUUGCUCCCUAAGGAGCAGAUGCCUGCAUCCGAGUCAACCAAAUCUAGAAGGGUCAUGAUUGACAAAUAUAUUCGAUUCUAUCACCUUUGACAAUUUCAUCUCUUUCCAACUUUUUAAAUGUUUUGUUCAUUGACUAUUAAACUCCUUAACUGUUUCUUUGUGAUUAGUUUUCGGAGAUUUGAUUCCCAUUUUUGCCUUUGGCUGUCAACUGCCCCCUAAUUUUAUUUCAUCCCUACAUUCCAGAUUCCUGUUCUUAUUUAGGACCAAUGUCAGGAAUGUU
Long non-coding RNA from Stegostoma tigrinum, 4253 nucleotides. RefSeq lists it as uncharacterized. NCBI's taxonomy places the organism in Eukaryota, Metazoa, Chordata, Chondrichthyes, Orectolobiformes, Stegostomatidae. The record is from RefSeq and is a predicted model, not a curated record. The transcript has 3 exons.